Molecule: ribosomal RNA, 274 nt
Filed under: uncultured bacterium
Lineage: Bacteria
Description: partial 16S ribosomal RNA
Rfam family: Bacterial small subunit ribosomal RNA
Source: RNAcentral
UGCCUACGGGAGGCAGCAGUAGGGAAUUUUCGUCAAUGGGGGGAACCCUGAACGAGCAAUGCCGCGUGAGUGAAGAAGGCCUUCGGGUCGUAAAGCUCUGUUGUAAGAGAAAAACGGUAAUGAUAGGGAAUGAUCAUUAAGUGAUGGGAUCUUACGAGGAAGCCACGGCUAACUAAGUGCCAGCAGCCGCGGGAAUAAGUAGGUGGCAAGCGGUAUCCGGAAUGAUUGGGCGUAAAGGGGGCGCAGGCGGAUGUAUGAGUCUGAAGUAAAAGCC